This 517-nucleotide ribosomal RNA is filed under the name Brachyspira aalborgi. RNAcentral describes it as "bacterial SSU rRNA". It matches the Rfam family "Bacterial small subunit ribosomal RNA", at positions 106 to 640 of the family's 1533-position model. Lineage: Bacteria; Pseudomonadati; Spirochaetota; Spirochaetia; Brachyspirales; Brachyspiraceae. The record is from RNAcentral.
GUGAGUAACACGUAGGUAAUCUGCCGUAGAGUGGGGGAUAACCCAUGGAAACAUGGACUAAUACCGCAUAUACUCUUGACGCUAAAGCGUAGUAGAGGAAAGGAGUAAUCCGCUUUACGAUGAGCCUGCGGCCUAUUAGCCUGUUGGUGAGAUAAAAGCCCACCAAAGCUACGAUAGGUAGCCGACCUGARAGGGUGACCGGCCACAUUGGGACUGAGAUACGGCCCAGACUCCUACGGGAGGCAGCAGCUGAGAAUCUUCCACAAUGGACGAAAGUCUGAUGGAGCGACAUCGCGUGAGGGAUGAAUGCCUUCGGGUUGUAAACCUCGGAAAUUAUCGAAGAAUGAGUGACAGUAGAUAAUGUAAGCCUCGGCUAACUACGUGCCAGCAGCCGCGGUAAUACGUAGGAGGCAAACGUUGCUCGGAUUUACUGGGCGUAAAGGGUGAGUAGGCGGAACUAUAAGUCUAAGGUGAAAUAUCGAAGCUCAACUUCGGAGACGCCUCGGAUACUGUGGUU